This 1091-nucleotide long non-coding RNA is filed under the name Cucumis sativus (cucumber). Its description in RNAcentral is "long non-coding RNA (CSAT_LNC000546)". The record is from RNAcentral. Lineage: Eukaryota; Viridiplantae; Streptophyta; Magnoliopsida; Cucurbitales; Cucurbitaceae.
UCACAUAGUAUGAGGCAUUGUGUUCAAUAGAAAGAAACUUCACCACGUGUAAAGAGUUAAGAAAUUAUUAUAACAAGGUGUUUAUCAUCUGUUAGACUCUCUUUACGAGUGACUUGCAUAUGACCUACUCUUUAACUUCAACAUACUUCAACAUAAUAUGAACGAGAGAGGCAUAUCCAGAGAUGAGAGAGAAAGAAAGAGAGAGGGAGAAAAGGAUUGAUAGGAGAAAUGAUGAGACUGUUGCACUCCAUGACGUCAAUUAACUUCUCCGACAGCGCAUCAUAUCACCUCCGAAAACCACCAAUCAACCAUUCUUACAAAGCCAAGACACAUAUCUACCUUAGUACAAACAACAUUUAAAUUCACCUCACAUUGGGCUCCUUAUAAAUUUCACAGCACAACAAUCGGCUAUCUCACCUUUGAUAGUGCAUCUUCGUCAAGAUUACAAAGUGCCUCUGUUUUUUUCAAUAUGUCUUUUUCAAAGCAAUUUCCGCGACACUGUCAAGUGGAAAAGAAGGAAUACACCCUAGAGUUGGACAAAAAAAUAAGAGGUAUAAGAUUUUUCAUCACUGAACAAAGUGCAUACAAAUCACUCAUACUAGUGGUCACAGUGGAAUAAGUUGAAUGGAUGAAGAAAGUCAUGUUUACUUUGAUCAACACCCUAAAGAACAACAGAUUCUUUCAGAAAAAAAGAGAUAACAGACAAUGUAUGUGGAUUAGUAAAACGCAAAAUAAGAAAGGGAACUUAGCUGAGAUCUUCAAGGUGGACGAUAAAGGAAGAAAAUGCUAUAAAUUGGUGCAAGAAAGUGUUGAAAUAACAUGAUGGAGCAAUUUUUUAAAAAUGCUAAACUACAAGGCUGAAAGAGAAACGAAAGCAUUGCAUGCAGGGUACCAUAGUCGCAAGUUUGAAGUGGACACAUCAUCAGCAGAAUCGGAUACAGAUGAAAGGAAUAAAAAAAGAACAUAUGCAGAAGUGUUAUAUUCCGAAAGUAACUACGACAGCUCAACAGAAAGCGAUAAAUAUAAAGAGAUGAACUCUAAGAAAAGUGAUGAAAGUGAAAAAGCUCAAAGAAAAGGAGACAGGAAAAUAC